GAAAUACUUUGCUAAAAAAAAAAAGGUAUUCAUUAGGGGCUCGAAAUAACAAGACAAGAAGAACAAAUGACCUUCAAAUAAAGACGAUGCUAAACAUACCCAGGCUGAGAUUAGCGUUUGCAUGACACUCCUGCCCCACUUAGGAUCACACCAAACCGGGCCAGCUGAUAAGAUUCUGUUGAACAGUAAAGCAUCCCCGCACCUCGAGGGACAGGCGGCCUCUCACAGAGCCGCCAUGUGACCGAUUGUCAUCACACAAACCACAGGUCCGCUGCCAGCCGCUGAGAGCUCCAGACCUGCCAAAGAUAGCAACAAGCCCGCCUGCAUGGGACUAUGAGCGCUGCUGCAGAGAGAGGACGAAUAAGUACACGCCGACCGCAGAGAGAGCGGCCCUCUGUGAAGACUCUCAGUUCAGCGUGUCAAAUGACGGGCUGCAAUCUCGCGACUCCAGCCCGCCUUUAACCCAACAUCCGUCGGCUGCCUUGAACAGUUGAUGAAUGGCUCCAUCAGGGUGAACGUGGCAGCCGUUUAAUGUGAAAUGCUUGUGAGGAUUAAGCUGCACAUAAAUCUUGAUUAAGGAGACGCCAUGUGCCGCGUCGUGAGACAGCACAUUGAUGACUGCUCUGCUGAUGAUGAUGAUGAUGAUGCCAAUGGGAGCAGAUACUGUAGAUAAAGUGGGUGGAAACUGUAUAUUCAUGUUGUUAGCGCUCAUUAAGUGUGGAUCAUUGGUGCAUGUUGAGUUUCUGUUAUGAAGCUUCAUGAAACAUCUGUUAACCAGAAGUUUAAGUUUAGAGGGUGAAAUCAUUGAAUGUGACUUUACACUGUAUCUUAUCUUGUUUUCACUCUACAUUUAACCCUGUGAGUGUGGCUGGUUGUCUGUCUCUAUAUGUCAUC
This is a long non-coding RNA of Labrus mixtus (cuckoo wrasse), 894 nucleotides long. RefSeq lists it as uncharacterized. Lineage: Eukaryota; Metazoa; Chordata; Actinopteri; Labriformes; Labridae. The transcript is spliced from 3 exons. The record is from RefSeq and is a predicted model, not a curated record.